Long non-coding RNA from Ochotona curzoniae (black-lipped pika), 1212 nucleotides. RefSeq lists it as uncharacterized. The transcript is spliced from 2 exons. Lineage: Eukaryota; Metazoa; Chordata; Mammalia; Lagomorpha; Ochotonidae. The record is from RefSeq and is a predicted model, not a curated record.
GUGGAUCUUAUGAGGUACAUUGGAGAUGUAAUCAAACCUGGAAAAGCCAAAGUGGAUAGGAAGGUAUCCAUGAAAUCUCCAGAGAGAGGAACAGAGUGCCAAGCUGUAGGCAGAACCUCGGGUGGGUCAGGAAGGGCUUUGGGGAUCUUUCCAACCUCCUGACAUAGUUGUCACUCACUCCCACAUCCACCAGUUCUGUAACUGUGCUCUGGCUUAGUCUUCAGCUUGUCUCUCCUUUCUCUGACUCUGUCCAUGGACAUAGCUUUGCUCUGGCUUUCAGUCUCUUUUUUUCUGCUUUCUUGCUGAAUAUCUUUCUUGCUCCCUGGGUUGCUUGAUCUUGGGCUUGGUUGAGACAGAAGGUAUAAAUAAUACAAAGUGAUGGUAACUAUAAGAGGACAAAGUAAAAAGGCAUUUGUGGAAAAUGAAAAUUUUCCUAAUUAUGCCUACAGAGUCAGAUGGUAAGAGAUGGAGUGGGGUGAUGAGUGUGUUGGCCCUUGGAGGAUGAGCAGCAAAGCUGGGAGAUGUCCAGAAAUGUCAAACUAUGUGGGAGUCAUCAUUUGGGUAGCUUGCAAAUGGGGCUCGUAAGGUAGGUUGGAACAGAAAGCCGUUGGUCCUGUCAUUGUAGAAGACCUAAUCAUUCUUUCUCUGCAGGUGGAUUUUUAAGCAAAGACCUCACUACUCCAAGUGUGCUUUGCAAGCUGGCAAAAUCUGCAGUAUCCAGAAGCCUGGUGAAAUGCAGAGUCUCAGGUGCCUGUGAAAUGGCAUUUAUUCUUCCUGAGAAGACCUAUGGUUUCAACCAAGUCUCUGAACUUUUGUAAAUGAUGAGAGAGGUAACAGAACAAACUGGAGUCUCCUGUCCAGCAGGUGCAGCUGCUGGAUUCCCGGACACCAAAGGAGCUGGAGAUGGCCAUCUGUGGACUUCAGAGCAGCAGCAUCUGCAAGGCAAGGCCUCCGAGCCCAUUUAACAAACAUCAGGUAGCCCAAAGACAUGAAGAAGAAAAUGCUUUCACAUCUUCACAUCUGGGAGCGUUUAGAAAUUCUGAAUAGAUGGCUUAUAAGAGGACAGAAAGAAAUUCCUUUUAUUGCUCAGCCCAUAAAUCAUAGCCACUUAGAGUUAUACCUUCCUAGCCAUUGAUCAUUUCUGUCCUCCUCACCUUCCCCACCUCUUGAAUAUACGCUUACACACUCUGAUUAAACAAAGAUCUAUCUCAA